RNAcentral lists this long non-coding RNA (211 nucleotides) under Elaeis guineensis (African oil palm). Its description in RNAcentral is "long non-coding RNA (EGUI_LNC027183)". Lineage: Eukaryota; Viridiplantae; Streptophyta; Magnoliopsida; Arecales; Arecaceae. The record is from RNAcentral.
AGCAGAAUAAUCUCCAACCUAAUAUCAUCGGCAUAUCAGAAUUACCAGCCGACGAUCGUUCAUACCAAUAUUAUCGAUAUAUAAUCAGCUAGUCUACUUAACAUGCGAUAACCAUUAUGAACGGUUAUCGACUACGUGUCACGAUAAUUAGUGGGGAUUAAUGAUCCACUGACUCCACAAUUAUGGCCCGAUAAUUUAGCAUCAUAAAAAG